GAGGUGGGAGGAUUGCUUGAGUCUGGGAGGUUGAGGCUGCAGUAAGCUGAGAUUGUGCCACUGCACUCCAGCCUAGGUGUCAGAGCAAGACCUUGUCUCA
This is a microRNA precursor of Chlorocebus sabaeus (green monkey), 100 nucleotides long. NCBI's taxonomy places the organism in Eukaryota, Metazoa, Chordata, Mammalia, Primates, Cercopithecidae. The record is from Ensembl.